CACCUACGGGGCGCAGCAGUGAGGAAUAUUGGUCAAUGGGCGGGAGCCUGAACCAGCCAAGUCGCGUGAAGGAAGAAGGUACUUAGUAUUGUAAACUUCUUUUGUCGGGGAACAAAGGCGGAGACGCGUCUCCGGAUGAGUGUACCCGAAGAAAAAGCAUCGGCUAACUCCGUGCCAGCAGCCGCGGUAAUACGGAGGAUGCGAGCGUUAUCCGGAUUUAUUGGUUUUAAAGGGUGCGUAGGCGGGACGGUAAGUCAGCGGUAAAUAUGCGGAGCUCAACUCCUUCGAGCCGUUGAAACUGCCGU
Molecule: ribosomal RNA, 305 nt
Filed under: uncultured bacterium
Lineage: Bacteria
Description: bacterial SSU rRNA
Rfam family: Bacterial small subunit ribosomal RNA
Source: RNAcentral